RNA transcript from Cyanidioschyzon merolae strain 10D, 3263 nucleotides. RefSeq lists it as hypothetical. The record is from RefSeq and is a predicted model, not a curated record. Lineage: Eukaryota; Rhodophyta; Bangiophyceae; Cyanidiales; Cyanidiaceae. The transcript has a single exon.
AUCGAGUGCGCCCCCGGAAACCCCUGGUAGAUAGUCCCGACUCACUCGUAUCACAUCUUCGUCCAACUCGCAAAGCACAACUUUUUCAAGCAUCUUAUCCACAGCGUCGUGUCGCAGAACCUCCCGCAGCACGCCGCCGUCGCCGCCGCCAACCACCAGCACCCGCUCGGGUCGCGGGUGUGCAAACAUCGGCAAGUGUGUGAUCAUCUCCUGGUACGCAAACUCGUCUCGUUCUGUGACCUGAAUAGCUCCAUCGAGAACCAAUACACGGCCGUGUGCUCUGGAGUCAAAAACCAAAAUGUCUUGGAAGCGAGAGCGCCCCUGGUACAGAACGCGCUGAACCUCCAGUGCCAGCGCCUGCCCCGGCCACAGGGGGCUUCGUUCCAUGAACCAACCUCCUUGGAUACAUUCGACCAACUCACGGCCAUUUGUAGCGGCUGAGUCCCGAUCAGCAUUAAGCGGACUAGGAUUUUGUGUAUUCAUCUGGUGUAGGUGCUCCCAAAGCGGAAACGCUGGAUGCGUUCCAAGCACGUGCUCCUUAGCGCAGCAGCCGCUGCGUACGUCGUACCGAGGCGCCGCACGCCGUUGCUGCUUCGGGAUUCCCGGCAGCGAUUUGCGUUCGCGGCAUAUGAUCGUCGAAGCAGGCGUCAGCGGUCGCUUGUUCAUGACAAGGAGGCACCAUAUGUCGAGCUGGCGUCCGUCAGGGCCUCGUACGGGCGCUGCCUGUACCCGAGAGCAAUCACGGAUCCAGCGGAUCGAGGUAAGAUGUAUCGAUUUUUCAGUAUGAAAAAGAGCAGUGGCCUUCUUCUCGUAUUGUCGGGUAUGAGUAUGCAUCCACGCAAUUCAGCUACGAUUCAUCCACGUCUCCGUAUUGCAAGGAGCAGCAAUCCUCUUCUCACAUUUUCGGGUAUCAUUAGGCAUCCACGCAAUCCAGGCACGAUUCAUCCACGUCUCCGUAUUGCAAGGAGCAGCAAUCCUCUUCUCACAUUUUCGGGUAUCAUUAGGCAUCCACGGAAUCCAGGCACGAUUCAUCCACGUCUCCGUAUUGCAAGGAGCAGCAAUCCUCUUCUCACAUUUUCGGGUAUCAUUAGGCAUCCACGCAAUCCAGCUACGAUGCAUCCACGUCUCCGUAUUGCAAAACGGUUUCAGCCUCUGCGGUUGCGCUGCCGCAUGUUCUCCGUCGAUGCUUCAGCGGCGCAUCACUCUGAAGCAAUUCGACAUUCGGUUUCUCGCAGAGGGUGUGUGUAGAGGCGUGCCUCUACCCGUUUUUCAUCGAGAACCACACACUUUACUGCCGGUCGAUCGGAAGCUCUCCAUGAUAUGGAUCCAGGGCGCCGCCGACGAGACGGUUUCUACCGUCUAGUGGAAGAUGAGGAGGCUGGCACCGGCCAGUCGACCGCGGUGCGCUCCCAGAGGGGAAACGCAGGUGCGUCUCUUCGCCCCGGAGCUUUGGGUUCCGUAUGGGUCGCUGUUCAGGUGGUGACCGUGGGUGCAGUGCUGGUGCUUUUCACCACAGGCAUCCUGUACGGUGCGCAGCGGCUCUGGUUAGAGCCACAGAUGAACGCUGCGCACGGCAAGCUGGACACGGCAGCAGAGGCGCAGCUGCGCUCUGCCCUAGACGUAAACGCGACCGUUGUUGAGAACGCUCGCCAGGCGGUGCUCUUCACACCUAGCGCAUGAGUAAGUACGCCAAGCGAAUGAUGCGGAACUAUAUACCUUAUCUACAUUGACGGAGGUUGAUUUCUUACCGAAAUCUUCGAUGAGGAGCAUACCAAGACUCCUUGGCUGACGCUGAGUACCAGAGACUAACCGGACCCGAGUGACGUGGAACUCGCUCACAACGGCGAGUGAGCGUCUCGCUAACUUAAACAGGCCUUGGGGAGGUAUCCGGGAGUUCGCGAUUUCACCACACGGGUUUUUGUGUCGAACGCAUGGAGGUUCCAACGCCCAGUUCGUCGAGAUUUUACGCCCGGCAAACCGAAGCUGGAGUUUUACGCAGAAGGCGGUGUGCUGCUUCGACAGGUGGACAUCGACCUCCUGAACGCUGAGCAGAUUGCGCUCGUUCUGGAGAAACAUGGAUUCCCACGAAUGCCUCCGUGAUCGUUGAAUAGCCGCGAGCACUGCAACGUGACCAUGAAGCGGCUUCUAUAAAGGCGCGCUCGCCGGGGAAGCGGCUGACCCGUUCCAGUGCUUGGGGCAGCAAAGGAACGAAGGGAACUUUUUCGGUUCAGGGAAGGAUUAUCAUUUAAAGGACUAGAGACGAGUGCCGGUGUACGCAGGCGAUGAGCGACAUUCCUGAAAUAACGCGGCGGUCGCACCCGCAUAUGCUAUAGAGUGUCCGGGGGGCGGCGCCCGCCGAUAUCUCCACCAGAUGUCCCUCGGUCCAUUGUCCAAGAACAAGCGCAUGCACGCAGAUUCAGCGCUCAGAACGUCGCCAGGUAUGAACUUGUAUCCCAGGAGACGUCAGUCUCCACCACAACGCCGUGGUUCGCAGGUGAUAACGCCGCUGCGGGCACCGUGCACACAUGCCAUGCACCGUGUGUGUCAUGGGUGCACGUCAAUAGUGCUGGCAGGUGAUGCGCUCCUGGUGUACAGCACGCGACACAGGCCGCGGCUGAUUGAAGCCAAUCGAUGUGGCGCUCGUGCUUUUGCAUGCUGGAGUUCACUGGGGUCUACGCUCGCGCCUCUGGGACGUGCGUUCCGAAAAACAAGGAUAUGGCGGGGCCAGUUGGAGCUUGGUGCAGCUGCAAUACCACGCGAAACAUCCGAGGAACAUGGUGUCCUGAGCUCUGCUCUCCAAGUAUGAGAACAACAUCUUGAUCGCCACGAUUACGAUGUUCUGGGAAGAUAUCACAUGAAAUUCGCUCACGCUGUAACUGCUUUGACGGAUCCUGCCUAGCAGUUACGAUGCGACAACACUGGCGCGAUUGCGAUUCCAUUCCUGAGUGCAAGAGAUGGAUGCAUGUACUGACCAGGAAUCCGCCGAAUGCGAAUUUCGUACCGUGUUCAGGGAAGCAACCAUUAAUAUACCCUAGGCGCUUGCAGUGCCCCGAGCAACAUACUACAUUCGCAGAGGUCCGUUCAAACGGCCUUUUGGAUUCCGAACUUAUCGGGGUCGCGUCCUGCGGCAUUGAAAGCGUUAUUGCGGGCGCUAUGCACGGAAACAGAACGCUUUCGCCAUAGACAGGCGAGCGUCAACGCGAGCGGUCUUCAGGGACACUGCGCAUGAUGCUGUUUGUUUGCACGUGCGCCAUAAAACGGCA